RNAcentral lists this long non-coding RNA (735 nucleotides) under Homo sapiens (human). Its description in RNAcentral is "HSALNT0068136". Lineage: Eukaryota; Metazoa; Chordata; Mammalia; Primates; Hominidae. The record is from RNAcentral.
GGGCUCAGCCGGGGUAUGAGGGGUGGGCAGAGUCCCCCCACCUGGCUCACCCUUUCUCUUCCUCUCCUCCUCUGGGCACCUUCUUUGACUCCCACAGGCUCCUAGCUCAGACCUCUCCACUCUUCCUGGCUUUCCUUCAGGGAGGUCAGGAAAGUCAGGGACCCGUGGAUAAAGACCAGGAGAACACAAUGAGCAGAAAAGCGUAGGCGAGCAGCUGGCAGCCACCAUCGCAUUUGCUCCCGGAAGGCAAGAGGAGGCAGAGAAAAUUCCAGAACCCAUUUAAGCGUCUGGGACCCUGAGGUAACCAUGAGCUACUGGCAGGCCGGGGGACACAGCGGGUACAGAAGGGGUCUCUGGAGUUUCGUGAGGAAGUAUUCGGGCUGUGCGGCGCCGCGACCCUGGCAGGACGCUGCUGUCCCGCCAGCGAAAGCGGGGCGCGCUCAGGGCUGCGGGCAGCGGGGGUGCAGCGGGGAGAGCCAGGGCCUGGGCGCGGAGGAGGGGCUGGUAUGGGACCCUCCGGGUGGGCGCGGCCCCGCGGGGCCUUGCGGCCACACCGCCACCGUGCCCAGCGGCCCCAUCAGCGCAUAUUCAGGAUGAACCCCGGACACGCGCCCAGAACCGUCUGGUGACCCAGUGAUGAAAGCUCGAAUCUUAUAGGAUCCGUAUUCAUUUCCCGUGGGCUCAAGCCCAGCCUCCGCGGGCGGCGCGGGCCCUCGCGGCGAGUGUCCACGAGGA